Non-coding RNA from Phoenix dactylifera (date palm), 5644 nucleotides. The record is from RefSeq and is a predicted model, not a curated record. NCBI's taxonomy places the organism in Eukaryota, Viridiplantae, Streptophyta, Magnoliopsida, Arecales, Arecaceae.
AGAUAUGCGAACGUUCGUGAUGAUCUUUUGCUUUCCUUCUGAUACUGACGUUUAAGAUAUCUGUAUCAACGAAAUCAGCAAAGAAAGGGAGAAAAAAAAAAAAAACAAGGAAUCAAAAGCUCCACUUUUUAAGAAGCACAACUAAGUUUCCCCGCAAUCAUCACAGUAAGCAUGGAAGGGUAGACAGAAUCAGCAACUUACCCGACUCCAUCCUCCAUCACAUUCUCUCCCUGAUGCCUUUCAGAGACGCAGUGCGAACCAGCACCCUGGCCAAGUCGGGCAUGGACUUCGACCAGCGUCUCAUCUACUGCCACAGCUCCUCGACUUUUUCAACGCCAUCUCGGGGGAUUUUAGGCUGCUUAUGGGCCUAUUAUAACCUGAAGCUUGAGGCAACCGUCUUCAUGGACUACGUCGACCGCGGUUUGCACCUCCGCAAUGGCCUCAAUAUCAAAACAAUGCCUCUUUCUUUCAAUGCCCUGUGUCCCGUGUUGAUUCUUCUAUCAGGUUCGGGGCUCGAGGGGGGCCGGCCCAAGCCUUGGGCGACCUAGCCCCGGCCCAAAGAAAGGCCCACGCCCGACAGUGACUCCUAUCUCCUAGCUACGGAUCCGUAGAGGUAGAGGCGCAGAGCCAACGGCUACUUCGACAAGACGACUGAGCCACUGAGGGUGAGUCGCCGCGACGCCGUCCGAAUCCCAUCGCCCAUCGUCCCUUUCUUUAAAACCCUCAUCGUCCUCCACUCCUCCUCUAUCCUCAUCGUUCCUGAGCUCCUCUUCUGCAGCUCUGCUUCAGUCUUCACCGACCACUCACCGGCGCGGUCGUCUCCUCCACCUCCCCGGCAUCCCCCGGCUGCAGCACCGCCUGUGCCCACCUUCAUCUCCCGCGACCUCCUCGCCUCCCUCCCGUCCCCUGACUCCCGUCUUCUUCACGUCAGCCCGCUGCACUUUUUGCAUCCUGGGCGUUCUCGAAUCUCAACGGUUGUGUCUUCGGCCUCUUCUCCAACUCCACCCGUCAGUCUCCGGCACCGCUUCUCGCCGUCGAGUUCGGCCUUGCUUUGUUGGGACUUGAGUUUGUUUUUUUUGACAUUAUCAAGUUUUAUCAUUUUCAACUCUUUUAUAUUUUGAUUUGUUUGUGGUGAUUGUCUUAAUUGCUUUUUUUGAUAAUAUAAUUUUUAGAUUCAAAUGUCUAAUAGAAAAUAUGAAUGUGGGUAUGAAAAACUCAAAAAGAAAAGAAAAAUCGAAGAACUCAUUCAAUCUCAAAAAGAAGCUCUAGAUAGAUUUGUUAUCACAGACAAACAAAACACUACAUCAAGUUCAACUCAGGAAUUAGCAACAAAACAAGCACCCAAAAUAGAGUUAGAAGAUGACAUGAAAAGAAGAACUAAACAAAAUGAGAUUGACAACCAGAUUCGUAGUGAAGAACACAAUGAGGAAUUAGAUGGAGAUAGUAUAAAUAAAGAUAGUGUAGAGCUUAAUAAAACUAGUUCUAUUUCUACAAAUAUAUACGAUCCUGGUCAAUGGAAACAGAUCGAUACAAAGUUGAGAGAUAUAUUAGUGGAAAGAGGUCCAAUUAGAGAUUAUGAUCUUCAUUUUCCUAGGGAUGAAAAUAAUAGACACUUCUCUACGCUACAUUAUAUUUGUAAAUUACCUAAUGGUGAAAAACAUAAUAGAAGAUGGUUAGUGUAUUCGAAGGAUUUGGAUAGGGUAUAUUGUUUUUGUUGUAAAUUAUUUGAUUCAACGCCUAACACGAAUCACUUAGUCAAUGAAGGAAUUAGAAAUUGGAAAAAUCUAGGUAUUAUACUCAAAAGUCAUGAAACAACUAAUGAACAUAUUACUAGCAUGAAUAAGUGGAUUGACUUAGAAGUAAUAUUGUUGAAAAACAAGACAAUUGACAAAAGUCUCCAAGAACAAAUAAACCAAGAGAAAGAUCAUUGGAAAAAAGUACUAUUGAGAAUUAUUGCUGUCGUGAAAAAUCUUGCAAAAAAUAAUUUAGCAUUUCAGGAAAAGAAUGAAGAGAUCUAUCAAAGCAAUAAAGAAACUUUUCUAAGCCUUAUUAAAAUGAUUGCAGAAUUUGAUCCAGUAAUGCAAGAACAUGUUCGACGCAUUCAACAUAGAAAAAUUCACAAUCAUUAUUUAGGUCAUAAUAUUCAAAAUGAAUUGAUUAAAAUGUUGGCAUAUGAAAUUAAAACUACAAUAAUCAAAAAGAUUAAAGAAGUAAAAUAUUUUUCUUUAAUACUUGAUUGCUCUCCUGAUGCAAGCCAUCAAGAACAAAUGACCCUAGUUUUAAGAUGUGUAGAUACUUCAACAAGUCCAGUAAAAGUAGAAGAAUAUUUUUUAGAAUUUUUAGAAGUACAUGAUACAUCUGGAAAAGGCAUUUUUAGCGAACUUAUAAAUAUAAUAGAAAAACAUAAACUUGAGGUUAAUGAUAUAAGAGGACAAGGGUAUGACAAUGGGUCUAAUAUGAAAGGAAAACAUCAAGGUGUACAAAAAAGAUUAUUGGGUAUAAAUCCUAGAGCAUUUUACACACCAUGUGGAUGUCAUAACUUGAAUUUAGUAUUAUGUGAUAGUGCUAACUCAUGUCCUAAGGCUAUAUCUUUUUUUGGAGUGAUACAACGAAUUUAUACAUUAUUUUCUUUUUCUACAAAACGAUGGAAAAUUUUACAAGAUAAUGUACCCACAUUGACUUUUAAACCCUUGUCACAGAUACGUUGGGAAAGUCAUAUUGAAAGUGUUAAAGCAAUUAAAAGCCAAACUCCUAAAAUAAGAGAUGCAUUAGUUCAAUUAGCGGAAACUAGUGAAGAUCCUAAAACAAAGAGUGAAGCCACAUGCUUAGCUACAUAUGAGAUUGAGAAUUUUGAAUUCUUAUUGGGCAUAAAUAUUUGGUAUGAUAUCUUGUUUGCUGUUAACUCAGUUAGUAAGAACUUACAAUCUGAAAACAUGCAUAUUGAUGUUGCUAUCAAUCAAUUAAAAUAUCUUCUUUCUUAUUUGAAAAGUUAUAAGGAAAAUGGAUUCAUAACUGCUUUGAAUAAAUCUAAAGAAAUGGCAAAUGAAAUGAAAAUAGAACCUACAUUUCGUGAAGAACGUGUGAUCCGUAGAAAAAAAUAAUUUGAUAAAAAUAGUGAUGAUGAGAUAGCAAGAUCAGCCGAAGAAUCUUUUAGAAUUGAUUACUUUUUAUAUAUAGUAGAUCAAGCUAUUUCUUUAAUUCAAAAUACGUUUGAACAAUUCACCAUAUACGAAAAUAUUUUUGGUUUUUUGUUUAAUUUUAGAAAGUUAAAAUCUUUGAAUGAAGAGGAUUUGAAAAAAUGUUGUCUUAAUCUUGAAAACUUUUUAAAGCAUGGAGAAUAUUCUGAUAUUGAUGGUCUUGAUUUGUUUUCAGAGUUAAAAGUUUUAAAAGAAGUUUUACAAACAGAAACUAGUACCCCUAUUGAUACUUUAAGUUUUAUAAAAAAAACAAAUUCUUUUCCAAAUGCAUGCAUUGCUUAUAGAAUAUUGUUAACAAUACCUGUAACAGUUGCUUCUGUUGAAAGAAGUUUUUCAAAAUUAAAGUUGAUAAAAUCUUAUUUGCGAUCAACUAUGUCACAAGAAAGAUUAAAUGGAUUAGCUAUAUUAUCGAUUGAAAAUAGUAUUUUAAUGAAUCUUGAGUAUAAAAGUUUGAUUAGUAAUUUUGCAUCUCAAAAAGCUAGACGAAUUAUUUUUAAAUAAAAUUUUAAAGUAUUUUACACUUAUUAAAAAAAAAUUACCAUUUUUUUUCUAAAAAAAAGACCUCUCUUAGUGAGUUUGUUUUAGGCCCCCAAAUGCAUUGGGCCGCCCCUGCUCGAGGCAAUGUUGAAGAGCUCCACGUCUCAAUCUCUAGGGACCAUUAUACGCGCCUCCCCUACUUGCAUGAUUCCUUCUCCGCCUGCAACUCCCUUCAGGUACUGAAGCUGAGAUAUGGUUAAUUUCUUAUAUUAUUUGCCGGUGUUUAGCUCGCUGGAGACAUUGUGCUUGGAAAAUAUUUUCUUUACGGGCCAUGGCUACUUCUCAUCUAGGGCUAACAAUGAUAUACUACAAGCAUCCAAGUUGGAAGGCCAUGCUGUUUUUGAUUUUGCAAUCUACCCUAGGCAUAAGAAAAUGACCCUUGAUUCGUGCCAUUGGCACGCUCUCUUGCACCCUGAAUAUUGGUUGUCCAACGCUUGAAGAGCUGAACUUGAUGGGAAAUGGUGGAUUAAAAGAUAUUAACAUCGCUGCUAAAGGAUUGAAAAAGGUUGUGCAUGGCGAGGUCACUCAUUCAAGAUCUCCGAUGCUCGAACUCUCAGGUCGUUCAGGUGGCUGAGAAGUAGCACUGCUGCCUUAUCUGUUCCUCUUGCAGACUUUAUAUGUCCUCUGUGAUUCAACUUGGCAAUGUAAGCCAUUCCAUACUUGCCCUUCCCACACGUGGCAGUGUAAUGAAGCUUCUACAUGUUGCUGCUCAAGCUCAUGUUUUAGAGCUGACUGAGAGUUGUCUCAAGUUAAGCCUUAACAGCAGGAUGGAGCUUGCCUAACUGUGCCACAAGGUCUUACAAUCAGUAGUGCCACAGCUGAAGCAACUUGAAGUUCCCAAAUCAUACAGAUUGGAUUUGGACCUGUUAAAAUUCAUUGAUUGAUUGAUUAUGCCAAACUUUGUCAGCCUUCUAGUCUAUAUAAAGGUUGCUCCAGUACAUUGUAAUAGAUAGGCAGAAAUACAAUUUUUUUUCCUUAUUCUUCUUUUUCAAUAGGACCAACUGCUUUUCUGAACACUAAAUGCUAAGAUGCUAUGAGCUUUAGCACUAAAGAAGCAACUCUUUGCUUUUCUUUCUAAUAUGCACAUUGUAAAUCUUAAGUUGGAGUUUUUUUCUUCCUUUUCGAGCAGAGGAAAAUCUUAAAUUGGAGCAAUUUUACAGCAAGAAAGUAAACUAUCUUGUUGUGGCUACUUGUUGAGAAUGUUUGCUUGAUAAACGAAUGGAAUCACCUUUUUCAUCUUUUCCAUCAACCGGCUUUAUACUUGCUGUUCUUUAUAUUCCUAGGUACUCUCUUACAACGAGGAUCCAACUGAUCAACUCCCCACUUUUCACAAUGCCCCUUGCCUGAAGCUCAAAAUGGAUGCAGUUAUCUUAUUCCCCGUUUGUAGAAGGCGUUCCUUUUUAGAAACUCUUAGUCAUUCGAUUUGUGGACAAACCAAAGGAGAACUGGCCCUGGCCCUUAUGCAAUAUGUAUGAUGAGCCUCAAGAGACGAGCUUGGAUUGCUUGUCCCAUCACCUCAAGAGAGUAGAAGUCAUGGACCAUGUAGGCCGGAAACAGGAACUUAAAACCGCAGCCACUUGCUGAAGGAAUGCAGUGAAGUUAGAGAACUGGAUCCUUCACCUUCCCCAAAAGCUACACGAUAAUGUCAAUUUUCUAGAGGGUCCCCAAAUUCUUUUUGAUUGCCCAAGAGUUUCACCAAAUGUUGUAAUUUCACUCAUCUGAUUGUUGGUGCUGCAGUAAGAUUGAAACUUAGGGAGCUCCAUAUUUUUUUCAAAUUAGUUUUUUUUUCCUGUUAAGAAUUUAGUUUGGAACUCCUGGCAGUUAGAAGGGAACUUCAAAACGGCCGGGAACUUGAGAAUAUUGAGUAGAAACCUGUUUGUUUAAGAGUAUCCAAUUGAAACUGGUGAUAA